CGUAGCUCAGUCGGUAGAGCAGUUGACUCUUAAUCAAUUGGUCGACGGUUCGAAUCCGCCCGG
This 63-nucleotide transfer RNA is filed under the name pig gut metagenome. It matches the Rfam family "tRNA", at positions 6 to 65 of the family's 71-position model. From Rfam's summary of the family: Transfer RNA (tRNA) molecules are approximately 80 nucleotides in length. Their secondary structure includes four short double-helical elements and three loops (D, anti-codon, and T loops). Further hydrogen bonds mediate the characteristic L-shaped molecular structure. tRNAs have two regions of fundamental functional importance: the anti-codon, which is responsible for specific mRNA codon recognition, and the 3' end, to which the tRNAs corresponding amino acid is attached (by aminoacyl-tRNA synthetases). tRNAs cope with the degeneracy of the genetic code in two manners: having more than one tRNA (with a specific anti-codon) for a particular amino acid; and 'wobble' base-pairing, i.e. permitting non-standard base-pairing at the 3rd anti-codon position. The record is from RNAcentral.